AUUCCCGAGCCGUUGUCGAUCACCACCGGUAGCUGGCAGUGGUUCAUGCCGCCGCUGCUGCCGCCGCCUCCUGUCUCUGAGCCGCUCUAGCUACGGGCUCGGCCGGGGCCGAGUGCCUGGAACGCCGCGUCACAGAGGCCCCGGCACGGCCGGGUGAGGCCAGAGUCCUGGGGGCGCAGGCAGGGGGUCGGCAGGGCCCCAGGCGGAAGGACUCGCUGGACGCACCGUGCUCCUCAUGUUACCGCCCGCUAUUGCUUCUCGCAGGAAUUGGGCCACCCCAACACCUGGAAUCCCGGAAUCCCAGUAUCAGGAAAACCCGACUUUCGCAUCAAAAGAUUCAACUCUAACCCUUCACAAGUGCAUUUCUCAAAUACCCAGAAGAGCUAUAACAGCAGUUUUAUUUUCCAAAGCCACGGAAUUCUGGUUAACUGGUGGCGGUUCCGGGGAGUUCUAGAAUUCGCCCUUGAAACUGGGGAAAAAUGAGACUUAAGAGGAGAAAGUUGUUGCAGGAAGGGAGGCAGUGUCUGCUUCUGAAAUGUUAAACUUCUAAAAUAAGGAGAAAAAUGCUGGAAUUUAAAUGAGUUUUAAGCUGAAGGACGUGCCUGUCUUUUUGCAGGAAAAGUGAAGUUUAUCAGGUCAUAUGAAAUUCAAGUUUGGAAAAAUUUGAAAGUACAUUGCAUGUCAAUAAACGCAUCUUGGUGUCUGAUUCUGCAUACAUCUGUAGAGAAUUUGAAAACAAGCAGUCAAUUUAGAACUUCUGCUUGGUCUUCGGAAGCAAAAAGAGGAAAUUCAAAAGUAAUUUUACACGUCCUUCCACCAGAAGCUGAAAGGAUGGCUUUUUCGCGGCUGAAUAACGAAAGCCCCCUGCUUCGCCCCGGACUCUGAGCAGCUCAACCUGCGGAAAGGAUGUGUAAUAAAACGCCUUUCCAGGGAGACAAAAAAAAAAAAGGCCACCCAAAGGAAGGGCAACUCGGGAGUGCCUGGUUUCUACUGCGGUACCCGGGCACUUUGGAAGAAA
RNAcentral lists this long non-coding RNA (1018 nucleotides) under Homo sapiens (human). RNAcentral describes it as "HSALNT0316083". Lineage: Eukaryota; Metazoa; Chordata; Mammalia; Primates; Hominidae. The record is from RNAcentral.